This 23-nucleotide non-coding RNA is filed under the name Petromyzon marinus (sea lamprey). Its record names the gene pma-miR-103b-3p. Lineage: Eukaryota; Metazoa; Chordata; Hyperoartia; Petromyzontiformes; Petromyzontidae. The record is from miRBase by way of RNAcentral. RNAcentral also lists the same sequence under 69 other names.
AGCAGCAUUGUACAGGGCUAUGA